Leptidea sinapis is the source of this 1569-nucleotide long non-coding RNA. RefSeq lists it as uncharacterized. The record is from RefSeq and is a predicted model, not a curated record. The transcript has 2 exons. NCBI's taxonomy places the organism in Eukaryota, Metazoa, Arthropoda, Insecta, Lepidoptera, Pieridae.
UUUAACUCUGACAGAUAGAAUAGAACUGUCAACUGAAUCUCAUAUAUGCAAUUCAUUCAUCUGGUCAUCAACAAAAGAUUCUCAAGGCACAAAGAUUUCAGUGAAAUAUUAAAUCGGGGAGAUCAUGAAGUUCUUGGCUUUAGUUUUCUUGCUUACCGUCUAUUACGUACAAUGUCGAACAACAAACACACGAAAUCUUUAUGUUGCAAGUAACAAUAGUCAAACAGAAAAUAUAUCAAUUGAUACUGAUCCACAAAAUAAAGUCAAAACUGAGCAAAUAAAUGCAGAGCUUGCAGAUUCCAUGAGUACGCUAGGACCAGGCAAGAAGCAAAUGGUUAACUCUGAAGACCAAAAGGACAAAGAGUUUUACGUUCAACCUUAUACUUUUCAAGAUAUAUUAUCGGGUCAAGCUGAUAUUUGGUACUCAUCUAUUAACUCGAUGACAAUGCAAAGUUCUGACGAUGCCAUUAAGAUGCUUUAAUGGUAGAAAGUUGCAACAGGAUCUAUCGCACGAAGUUCUGUCGGUCGUAAGAUGCGCUCGGCAAUAUAAGACACAUGGUCUAAGAAAUUUUUGUACUUUAUUGUUUGAUUUAAAGCAGGAAAUACAAAAAAGUGAUUGCUCAAUCUAUAUUUUAUACCUUUAAACGAGCAAUUCUUGUAUAUAAUCUGAAUCUCAGAAACGGCUCCAAUGAUUUUAAUGAAAUUUUGUAUACAGGUAGUUUCCGGGGCGAAAAAUCGAGCUAACUAGGUUUCAAUUAAAAAAAUGUAGUUUUAUCCGUGUUUUAAUGAGAAACACCUACAAUAACGUUAUAAUACAAAGGUAAAUUUCGCCACUAUAAACAAGACUAAUAGCUCAGGUGGGACACUGGGUGAUCCGGAAAGCAGAAGACCCCGGUUCGAAUCCAGAUGUCGUGUUAGUUUUUUUUUUCAAGUUUCGUACAUUCUUUAAAAUCCGAGCAAGGCUCGGUCGUCCAGAUAUUAAUACAUAUAAGAGAUUUCCACCUAUGUAUUGAUUCAUCACGAUAUAUCUGGGUUCUGGAACCAUAAGGCGUAGAGACUUGAAUUUGGUAGCAAUAUUCCUUUCGCCGCGUAGAAAUCAGGUAAGAACGAAUUUUACCAAAUUCCAUUAGCAAGAGUUUUAUUUUUAUAACAGAACAACGUCUGUCUGGACUGCUAGUUUUACAUAAAGAUGAUUACUGGUUUCUAUAACUUUACUUAUGUUCUGUUUAUCUCGUAUAAUUCUAUGGUUCAAAGCGUGGAUUUGUCAUCUAUCCUUUCAAGUCUACAAAGCCUCUUUUAUAUUUCUGUACUUGUCUAUAGAUGAUUACCGACUAACGGCCGUUUUCAAUAACUAAUGUCCAAUAUAGUUAUAGUCCAAUGCUGUAUGUCGAUAGGUUAUUGAAAUGUAAGUAAGCAAGCGUAAAUGGAUAUAUUUGUCGACCUCUAGUAAGUUGAAUUAAGGAUAGAUAGGUUAUUGAAAACGGCCGUAAGUUAGGACAGUUUUUAUUUAGGCUUGCUGUUUUGUGUGUACGAGUAUGUUUAGUUUACAUUAUAUUGUAUGAUGUUUAA